This 496-nucleotide ribosomal RNA is filed under the name uncultured bacterium. RNAcentral describes it as "partial 16S ribosomal RNA". It matches the Rfam family "Bacterial small subunit ribosomal RNA", at positions 29 to 507 of the family's 1533-position model. The record is from RNAcentral.
AUGAACGCUGGCGGCGUGCCUAAUACAUGCAAGUCGCGCGAACAGACGAGGAGCUUGCUCCUUCGACGUUAGCGGCGGACGGGUGAGUAACACGUAGGUAACCUACCUAUAAGACUGGGAUAACUUCGGGAAACCGGAGCUAAUACCGGAUAAUAUUUCGAACCGCAUGGUUCGAUAGUGAAAGAUGGCUUUGCUAUCACUUAUAGAUGGACCUGCGCCGUAUUAGCUAGUUGGUAAGGUAACGGCUUACCAAGGCAACGAUACGUAGCCGACCUGAGAGGGUGAUCGGCCACACUGGAACUGAGCCACGGUCCAGACUCCUACGGGAGGCACCAGUAGGGAAUCUUCCGCAAUGGGCGAAAGCCUGACGGAGCAACGCCGCGUGAGUGAUGAAGGUCUUCGGAUCGUAAAACUCUGUUAUUAGGGAAGAACAAAAGUGUAAGUAACUGUGCACGUCUUGACGGUACCUAAUCAGAAAGCCACGGCUAACUACGUG